GGGUCCUUUGCCUAGUGGCCGAAGGCUCUCGGCUCAUAACCGAGUACUGUUAAUGACACAUCACUGGUUCGAAUCCAGUAGGACCCACCA
This 90-nucleotide transfer RNA is filed under the name Cellvibrionaceae bacterium. RNAcentral's name for it is "tRNA-Met". It matches the Rfam family "tRNA". From Rfam's summary of the family: Transfer RNA (tRNA) molecules are approximately 80 nucleotides in length. Their secondary structure includes four short double-helical elements and three loops (D, anti-codon, and T loops). Lineage: Bacteria; Pseudomonadati; Pseudomonadota; Gammaproteobacteria; Cellvibrionales; Cellvibrionaceae. The record is from RNAcentral.